GGGCCCGCACAAGCAGCGGAGCAUGUGGUUUAAUUCGAAGCAACGCGAAGAACCUUACCAGGGCUUGACAUCCCGAUGACCGGUACAGAGAUGUACCUUCCCUUCGGGGCAUUGGAGACAGGUGGUGCAUGGUUGUCGUCAGCUCGUGUCGUGAGAUGUUGGGUUAAGUCCCGCAACGAGCGCAACCCCUAUCCUUAGUUGCCAUCAGUUAAAGCUGGGCACUCUAAAGAGACUGCCGGGGAUAACUCGGAGGAAGGUGGGGAUGACGUCAAAUCAUCAUGCCCCUUAUGUCCUGGGCUACACACGUGCUACAAUGGCCUGUAACAGAGGGAAGCGAAGCCGUAAGGCGGAGCAAAACUCAGAAACCAGGUCCCAGUUCGGAUUGUGGGCUGCAACUCGCCCACAUGAAGUCGGAGUUGCUAGUAAUCGCGAAUCAGCAUGUCGCGGUGAAUACGUUCCCGGGCCUU
Molecule: ribosomal RNA, 467 nt
Filed under: uncultured bacterium
Lineage: Bacteria
Description: bacterial SSU rRNA
Rfam family: Bacterial small subunit ribosomal RNA
Source: RNAcentral